RNAcentral lists this long non-coding RNA (364 nucleotides) under Carica papaya (papaya). RNAcentral describes it as "long non-coding RNA (CPAP_LNC000311)". Lineage: Eukaryota; Viridiplantae; Streptophyta; Magnoliopsida; Brassicales; Caricaceae. The record is from RNAcentral.
CAGGUGCAACACCCAAUCAUGGUGUAAAAGUGUGUGACAUGAAUGAAUGUGUGAAACCAGGAUCUUUUAAUACCUUAGCUAAGUUUUUAGAGACAGUAAAUAUACCUUAAAUGACGUUUGGAUUUGCUUUAGCAUCUGAUGCAGUAAGGUUAUACACUCGUCCCCGUUUUAGAGCUUCUGUCUAUUCCUUCAUAAGUGGGCAAUUGCGAAUAAGAUGUUGUUGGCUACCACAUUUGAAAUAGGAUCGAGUGACACGAUGGCAUGGCUGAUUACCAUGAUUCUUCCCAUAAGUACGGCAGGUCGACGUCUUACUGGGUGCUGAUGAUGGUCUAGGAGAUAUUUCUAUUGUCAUUUUAGGCUUUUU